AGUGAACGCUGGCGGUAGGCUUAACACAUGCAAGUCGAACGGCAGCACAGUAAGAGCUUGCUCUUACGGGUGGCGAGUGGCGGACGGGUGAGGAAUAUUUCGGAAUCUACUUUUUCGGGGGGGAUAACGUAGGGAAACUUACGCUAAUACCGCAUACGACCUACGGGUGAAAGCGGGGGAUCUUUGGACCUUGCGGGAUUGAAUGAGCCGCUGUCGGAUUUGCUAGUUGGCGGGGUAAAGGCCCACCAAGGCGACGAUCCGUAGCUGGUCUGAGAGGAUGAUAGGCCACACUGGAACUGGGACACGGUCCAGACUCCUAAGGGAGGCAGCAGUGGGGAAUAGUGGGCAAUGGGCGCAAGCCUGGUCCAGCCAUACCGAGUGGGUGAAGAAGGCCUUCGGGUUGUAAAGACCUUUUGUUGGGAAAGAAAAGCAGCAGGUUAAUACCCCGCUGUUCUGACGGUACCCAAAGAAUAAGCACCGGCUAACUUCGUG
This 492-nucleotide ribosomal RNA is filed under the name uncultured bacterium. RNAcentral describes it as "partial 16S ribosomal RNA". It matches the Rfam family "Bacterial small subunit ribosomal RNA", at positions 29 to 507 of the family's 1533-position model. The record is from RNAcentral.